GGUUCUUAAUCGUCCCACAUUUCUUGGAUACUGUGGUAAUUCUAGAGCUAAUACAUGCAAACAGAGCUCCGACCGGAGACGGAAGGAGCGCUUUUAUUAGAUCAAAACCAAUCGGCGGCGGGUUCGCUCGUCGUCGUACAUUUUGGUGACUCUGAAUAACUUUUUGCUGAUCGCACGGUCUUGCACCGGCGACGCAUCUUUCAAAUGUCUGCCCUAUCAACUGUCGAUGGUAGGUUCUGCGCCUACCAUGGUUGUAACGGGUAACGGGGAAUCAGGGUUCGAUUCCGGAGAGGGAGCCUGAGAAACGGCUACCACAUCCAAGGAAGGCAGCAGGCGCGCAAAUUACCCACUCCCGGCACGGGGAGGUAGUGGCGAAAAAUAACGAUACGGGACUCAUCCGAGGCCCCGUAAUCGGAAUGAGUACACUCUAAACCCUUUAACGAGGAUCAAUUGGAGGGCAAGUCUGGUU
RNAcentral lists this ribosomal RNA (469 nucleotides) under uncultured eukaryote. RNAcentral describes it as "SSU rRNA". It matches the Rfam family "Eukaryotic small subunit ribosomal RNA", at positions 122 to 566 of the family's 1831-position model. The record is from RNAcentral.